UGCCGGGCUAGCUCGACGGAGCGAAAAGGGUGCGCCCCCGCCCUGCCCGGCACACCACACCUUCCGUGGGGG
This is a non-coding RNA of Thauera chlorobenzoica, 72 nucleotides long. Lineage: Bacteria; Pseudomonadati; Pseudomonadota; Betaproteobacteria; Rhodocyclales; Zoogloeaceae. The record is from Rfam.